AAUAGAUACUCAAUAAAUACUUGCCGACUGAUUUACUAUCUUGACAAAAUCUAGGUCACAAUUUCCCCAUAUAAGAAAACAAAUCAAGGAUUAUUGGAUACCUGUCUGUUGGAAUAAAAAUCUUGCAAGAGAGGAAUAGACUGAAAAAGGAGAGGGCUUCACGGGGGAGGACCUGAUUGCCAGAGUCAAUGAGGUUUGCCCUCCAGGUUUCGGGGAAUGGAUUCUACCAUGAUGAAGAGGCAUUCUUCUGAGCAGAAGGAAAGCCUACAUUUAACAUUUUUGCAAACGUCAAAACAACACGUAUAUUUGGAACAGAGGAAUGAAGAAGUGGUGGGGGGAAGUAUGCCCCAGAGAAUCACAGAGUCAGAGUCUCUCAGUAACUGCAGAUCAAGACUGGAUCUUCUUGAAUGGUGGUGGGACAGAGUAUGCAUUUUCCAUUGAGGGAGGCAGAAUUCUAAGAUGAGAACUCAGCUUACCUGACGAUUUGAUUUCAGCCUUGUGAAGCCCGGAGGAGAAAACCCAGCUUUACCACGUGAGACUUCUGAUCUACACAACUAUGAGAGA
RNAcentral lists this long non-coding RNA (564 nucleotides) under Ailuropoda melanoleuca (giant panda). RNAcentral's name for it is "lncRNA (ENSAMEG00000028069.1)". The record is from RNAcentral. Lineage: Eukaryota; Metazoa; Chordata; Mammalia; Carnivora; Ursidae.